RNAcentral lists this ribosomal RNA (606 nucleotides) under Lactobacillus gasseri. RNAcentral's name for it is "bacterial SSU rRNA". It matches the Rfam family "Bacterial small subunit ribosomal RNA", at positions 379 to 976 of the family's 1533-position model. Lineage: Bacteria; Bacillati; Bacillota; Bacilli; Lactobacillales; Lactobacillaceae. The record is from RNAcentral.
AAGUCUGAUGGAGCAACGCCGCGUGAGUGAAGAAGGGUUUCGGCUCGUAAAGCUCCGUUGGUAGUGAAGAAAGAUAGAGGCAGUAACUGGCCUUUAUUUGACGGUAAUUACUUAGAAAGUCACGGCUAACUACGUGCCAGCAGCCGCGGUAAUACGUAGGUGGCAAGCGUUGUCCGGAUUUAUUGGGCGUAAAGCGAGUGCAGGCGGUUCAAUAAGUCUGAUGUGAAAGCCUUCGGCUCAACCGGAGAAUUGCAUCAGAAACUGUUGAACUUGAGUGCAGAAGAGGAGAGUGGAACUCCAUGUGUAGCGGUGGAAUGCGUAGAUAUAUGGAAGAACACCAGUGGCGAAGGCGGCUCUCUGGUCUGCAACUGACGCUGAGGCUCGAAAGCAUGGGUAGCGAACAGGAUUAGAUACCCUGGUAGUCCAUGCCGUAAACGAUGAGUGCUAAGUGUUGGGAGGUUUCCGCCUCUCAGUGCUGCAGCUAACGCAUUAAGCACUCCGCCUGGGGAGUACGACCGCAAGGUUGAAACUCAAAGGAAUUGACGGGGGCCCGCACAAGCGGUGGAACAUGUUGGUUAAUUCGAAGCAACGCGAAGAACCUUACCA